AGGCUUACGGUGGAUACAUAGGCACCCAAAGAUGAGGAAAGUCAUAGUAAUCGAUGAAAUUUUUCGAGGAGUUAAAAAUAAGCAUAGAUCUGGAUAUUCCCGAAUAGGGCAACCUUUCGAACUGUUGUUAAGUCCAUGGCUAGGAAAGAUACAACAUGGCAAACUGAAAUAUCUAAGUAUCCAAAAGAAAAUAAAGCAAAAGUAAUUCUUGUAGUAGCAUCGAGUGAAAUGGGAACAGCCUAAACUUUGAAAAUGGAGUUGUGGGAGAACAAUACAAGUGUCGUGUUGCUAGGUGAAGCAGCCUGAAUGUUGCACCCUAGAUGGCAAAAGUCCAGCAGCCGAAAGCAUCACUAGCUUACACUCUGACCCAAGUAGCAUGGGGCACAUGGAAUUCGUGUGAAGUAGCAAUGACCACCUUGCAAGGUUAAAUACUCAUGGGUGACCGAUAUCAAAGUAGUACUAUGAGGGAAGGGUGAAAAGAACCCCCAUCGUGAAGUGCAAUAGAACAUGAAACUGUAAGCUCCCAAGCAGUGGGAGGACCAAGGGCUUGGUUAAUAGAACCCACCAGAGCCGUAGCAAAAAUGAGUAUUCAUAGAGAAAUUGUCACUGCUUAUGGACCCAAACUUGGGUGAUCUAUCCAUGACCAGGAUGAAGCUUGGGUGAAGCUAAGUGGAGGUCCAAACUGACUGAUGUUUAAGAAUUAGCAAAUGAGUUGUGGUUAGGGGUGAAAUGCCACUCGAACCCAGAGCUAGCUGGUUCUCCCCGAAUAGUUUUGAGGCACAACCGUUUAUUGGACAUCUAGAGGUAGAGCACUGUUUCAGUGGGGCCGCGAGAGCGGUACCAAAUUGAGAUAAACUCUAAAUACUAGAUAUGACCUCAAAAUAACAUGGGGGAUAAACUUCAUCGUCGAGAGGGAAACAUCCCCAGAUCAUUUGCUAAGUCCCCUAAAUAACCUCUUAGUGAUAAAUGAGGUAGGGGUGCAGAGAUAAACGAGAGGUUUGCCUAGAAGCAGCCCCCUUGAAAGAGUGCAUAAUAACUCAAUGAUUGAGCGCUCUUGCGCCAAAGAUGAAUGAGGAUAAGCAGUUUGCCGAAGCUGUGGGAUGUAAAAAUACAUCGGUAGGGGAGCGUUCCGCCUUAGAGAGAAGCCUACACGCCAGUGGUGGUGGAAGAAGCAGAAGUGAGAAUUUCAGCUUAAGUAACACAAACAUUGGUGAGAGUCCAAUG
This 1224-nucleotide non-coding RNA is filed under the name Solanum tuberosum (potato). RNAcentral describes it as "Archaeal large subunit ribosomal RNA". It matches the Rfam family "Bacterial large subunit ribosomal RNA", at positions 15 to 1334 of the family's 2925-position model. The record is from Rfam by way of RNAcentral. Lineage: Eukaryota; Viridiplantae; Streptophyta; Magnoliopsida; Solanales; Solanaceae.